This 460-nucleotide ribosomal RNA is filed under the name uncultured bacterium. RNAcentral's name for it is "partial 16S ribosomal RNA". It matches the Rfam family "Bacterial small subunit ribosomal RNA", at positions 338 to 795 of the family's 1533-position model. The record is from RNAcentral.
CCUACGGGAGGCAGCAGUGAGGAAUAUUGGUCAAUGGGCGCAAGCCUGAACCAGCCAAGUCGCGUGAGGGAUGACGGUCCUAUGGAUUGUAAACCUCUUUUGUCGGGGAGCAAGGCCCGCCACGUGUGGCGGGAAGGAGAGUACCCGAAGAAAAAGCAUCGGCUAACUCCGUGCCAGCAGCCGCGGUAAUACGGAGGAUGCGAGCGUUAUCCGGAUUUAUUGGGUUUAAAGGGUGCGUAGGCGGAAGGCUAAGUCAGCGGUAAAAUGUCGGUGCUCAACACCGGCCUGCCGUUGAAACUGGUCUUCUUGAGUGAGCGAGAAGUAUGCGGAAGGCGUGGUGUAGCGGUGAAAUGCAUAGAUAGCACGCAGAACUCCGAUUGCGAAGGCAGCAUACCGGCGCUCAACUGACGCUGAGGCACGAAAGCGUGGGGAUCGAACAGGAUUAGAUACCCCGGUAGUC